GACAGAGGUCUCGAGCGUUAGGCGGAAUCACUGGGCUUAAAGCGUGUGUAGGUGGAUGCCUAAGUACCUUGUGAAAUCCCACGGCUUAACCGUGGAACUGCUUGGUAUACUGGGUGUCUUGAGCCAGCUAGGGGCUACCGGAACAAGUGGUGGAGCGGUGAAAUGCGUAGAUAUCAUUUGGAACGCCAAUGGUGAAAACAGGUAGCUGGGGCUGUGCUGACACUGAGACACGAAAGCCAGGGGAGCGAACGGG
RNAcentral lists this ribosomal RNA (253 nucleotides) under uncultured bacterium. Its description in RNAcentral is "partial 16S ribosomal RNA". It matches the Rfam family "Bacterial small subunit ribosomal RNA", at positions 524 to 776 of the family's 1533-position model. The record is from RNAcentral.